AGAGUUUGAUCCUGGCUCAGAACGAACGCUGGCGGCAUGCCUAACACAUGCAAGUCGAACGAGACCUUCGGGUCUAGUGGCGCACGGGUGCGUAACGCGUGGGAAUCUGCCCUUGGGUUCGGAAUAACAGUUAGAAAUGACUGCUAAUACCGGAUGAUGACUUCGGUCCAAAGAUUUAUCGCCCAAGGAUGAGCCCGCGUAAGAUUAGGUAGUUGGUGGGGUAAAGGCCUACCAAGCCGACGAUCUUUAGCUGGUCUGAGAGGAUGAUCAGCCACACUGGGACUGAGACACGGCCCAGACUCCUACGGGAGGCAGCAGUGGGGAAUAUUGGACAAUGGGCGAAAGCCUGAUCCAGCAAUGCCGCGUGAGUGAUGAAGGCCUUAGGGUCGUAAA
This 393-nucleotide ribosomal RNA is filed under the name uncultured bacterium. Its description in RNAcentral is "bacterial SSU rRNA". It matches the Rfam family "Bacterial small subunit ribosomal RNA", at positions 8 to 429 of the family's 1533-position model. The record is from RNAcentral.